AGUUCUUCUCGUAUUGUGAUGUAGUGCAACACUUUGAUUUACAUAUAAGUGAGAUUUCGAUAAUUGCAUAAAAAAAAAUUAAAACAGUGGAAGGAAGUAAAAUGCGCAUUGCAAAAUUUAGCAAAUGCAGUUUCGAAGCGGAGAUUAUUGAUUCGCGAGAAGAUCGUGAAAUACUGGACCAGCAAUGUCAA
Non-coding RNA from Drosophila virilis, 191 nucleotides. The record is from RefSeq and is a predicted model, not a curated record. Lineage: Eukaryota; Metazoa; Arthropoda; Insecta; Diptera; Drosophilidae.